Molecule: ribosomal RNA, 644 nt
Filed under: uncultured Ceratobasidiaceae
Lineage: Eukaryota; Fungi; Basidiomycota; Agaricomycetes; Cantharellales; Ceratobasidiaceae
Description: eukaryotic LSU rRNA
Rfam family: 5.8S ribosomal RNA (bases 230-383)
Source: RNAcentral
AGAGGAAGUAAAAGUCGUAACAAGGUUUCCGUAGGUGAACCUGCGGAAGGAUCAUUAUUGAAUGAAUGUAGAGUCGGUUGUCGCUGGUCCCUUCGGGGGCAUGUGCACGCCUUCUCUUUCAUCCACACACACCUGUGCACUUGUAGACGGAAGCCCUCGGGCGUCCGUCUGCUCUACAUAAACUCAUAUCUAUAAUUCGAAUGUAAUUGAUGUAACACAUCUUUAAACUAAGUUUCAACAACGGAUCUCUUGGCUCUCGCAUCGAUGAAGAACGCAGCGAAAUGCGAUAAGUAAUGUGAAUUGCAGAAUUCAGUGAAUCAUCGAAUCUUUGAACGCACCUUGCGCUCCUUGGUAUUCCUUGGAGCAUGCCUGUUUGAGUAUCAUGAAAUUAUCAAAAUAAUUCUUUCGUUCGUUCGAUUGAAUUUAUUUUGGACUUGGAGGUCUGCAGAUUCACGUCUGCUCCUCUUAAAUAAAUUAGCUGGAUCUCAGUGAGCUCGGUUCCACUCGGCGUGAUAAGUAUCACUCGCUGAGGACACUGUAAAAGGUGGCCGGGAUUGCGGAUGAACCGCUUCUAAUCGUCUAUUUACUUAGACAACAAUACUUUAUGAUCUGAUCUCAAUCAGGUAGGACUACCCGCUGAACUU